UCGGCGCUGAGGAAGGUCUGUAUGAGCUGUUGGCUGUUGUGCCAGGCCGGCUGGGGCCACGUGUGGACAGCCAGGAAGACCUGACCUUCCUCUGGGAUAUGUUUGGUGAGAAAAGCCUGCAUUCACUGGUAAAGAAGUUACUCGUCGAGCACCAUUUUCCUUUAGGUUAGUGAUUUCUGAAUUGUAUUCAUGAAACAUUUCCUUAAUGUGUGACCAAAAAGCUAUUCCCUUUUUCAUUUUCACUUUGAUUUCGCU
RNAcentral lists this long non-coding RNA (255 nucleotides) under Canis lupus familiaris (dog). Its description in RNAcentral is "lncRNA (ENSCAFG00030011334.1)". Lineage: Eukaryota; Metazoa; Chordata; Mammalia; Carnivora; Canidae. The record is from RNAcentral.